RNAcentral lists this long non-coding RNA (1806 nucleotides) under Cottoperca gobio. RNAcentral describes it as "lncRNA (ENSCGOG00000007205.1)". Lineage: Eukaryota; Metazoa; Chordata; Actinopteri; Perciformes; Bovichtidae. The record is from RNAcentral.
AUGGAGGAGCCCCCCCAGCAGGUCCUCUUCCUGGGAACAGCCGGCUCCAGGAGCAUAAAUACAACCUCCAUCUUCAGCCCUCCAUCAGAGCUGCUUCACCCCUCCAUCUUCAGCCCUCCAUCAGAGCUGCUUCAGCCCUCCAUCAGAGCUGCUUCACCCCUCCAUCUUCACCCCUCCAUCAGAGCUGCUUCACCCCUCCAUCUUCAGCCCUCCAUCAGAGCUGCUUCAGCCCUCCAUCAGAGCUGCUUCACCCCUCCAUCUUCAGCCCUCCAUCAGAGCUGCUUCAGCCCUCCAUCAGAGCUGCUUCACCCCUCCAUCUUCACCCCUCCAUCAGAGCUGCUUCAGCCCUCCAUCAGAGCUGCUUCACCCCUCCAUCUUCACCCCUCCAUCAGAGCUGCUUCACCCCUCCAACUUCACCCCUCCAUCAGAGCUGCUUCACCCCUCCAUCUUCACCCCUCCAUCAGAGCUGCUUCACCCCUCCAACUUCACCCCUCCAUCAGAGCUGCUUCACCCCUCCAUCUUCACCCCUCCAUCUUCAGCCCUCCAUCAGAGCUGCUUCACCCCUCCAUCUUCACCCCUCCAUCAGAGCUGCUUCACCCCUCCAACUUCACCCCUCCAACUUCAGCCCUCCAUCUUCAGCCCUCCAUCAUGCAUUGUGGGUACCUGUUCUUACUGUCGCUGGCGUUGUGGGCGGAGCAUGCGGCAGGUAGGGUGUUACCAAUGGACUCAACAGACAUGCAGAGCAUCAUCGAGGACCUGCGGGAGGCGCUGCAGGAAUACAAGGCAGCGUUUAACAAUAAGGAUUCAUGUUGGAGCUUGUUGUUUAAAUACAUCUGGUCUGUUUGGAACAGUGUGACCUGAGCGGUACGACCCCGCUCUGCACAGAGACCGCCGCUCCGCUGGAACAGAGCUCCACGGUGGCCCAGAGACUGACUGAGUAUCAGGAGUGUGUGCCGCUCCAUUCUUUCUGUCCUGAUGUCAGUGUUCAUCUGGAUAAAGUCGAAAAACUGAACAUCGACCUGGUGCAACACCUGGUGAGUCUCUGUGCUCUGAUUGGCUGACUUAAAACGUGAUAGAAUUAUUGAUUAAAGAAGUCAGCUGUUUAAAAUAUAGUGUUCUCUAUACCUUUCUGAAAUAUGUGUGUGUGCGUGUUUACAGAAGGGGUUGUACCAAGAGCGCAGUAUCCCCUCCCCCACCUCGCCUUCAGUAUUAUUCAGCUCCGUACAGAAAUCCAUCCAGUGUGUUGACUGCUGGAGCCAGCAGGUGGCAGCACUGAGCAGAUAAAACACACACACACACACACAAAUAAAUAUUAUGAUUUUAAAUAAUGAUAAACUUUUAUUUUGUAAUUUUUACAAUCACUUCAGUGGACGUCCAACAGGAGGUGAUGUUUGCUCAGUGACGUAGAGAAGAAGACUAUUAUUAUUAUUUAGGGUUUUAUUUCCCAUCUUGAAAUACAUUCAAUGUUUUCCAUUUUAUUUAAUUGUCAUCUUAUUAUCUUCAUUAUUUGUCUGAUUUCCUUUAUUUUAAAGCACUUUGUGCUGCAUUUGUUUUAUAAAGGUGCUAUACAAGUGACGUGUAUUAUUAAUAUGAUUAUGAAUAUUAUCAUAAUUAUAAUACUAUUAAUAAUAUGUAAUAAUAAUAAAUAUGAGAAUUGGACGUUAAGGUGUUUAAAGAUCCUUCUUCAGGUUAUUUUUGGUUUCUUUGUAUAUUAAAAUAUAUUUUCUCUAUAAAUCUAGUUCUCAAAAUCACAACAUUUCACAUCUAUAAAUGCAGAAUUACUUUUUAAAGUCACAAUUCUAUAUA